GGAUCCAGACUUUGAUCCUGGCUCAGGACGAACGCUGGCGGCGUGCCUAACACAUGCAAGUCGAACGGAACUGUUUUGAAAGAUUUCUUCGGAAUGAAUUUGAUUUAGUUUAGUGGCGGACGGGUGAGUAACGCGUGAGUAACCUGCCUUCAAGAGGGGGAUAACAUUCUGAAAAGAAUGCUAAUACCGCAUGACAUAUCGGAAUCACAUGAUUUUGAUACCAAAGAUUUUAUCGCUUGAAGAUGGACUCGCGUCCGAUUAGUUAGUUGGUGAGGUAACGGCUCACCAAGACCGCGAUCGGUAGCCGGACUGAGAGGUUGAACGGCCACAUUGGGACUGAGACACGGCCCAGACUCCUACGGGAGGCAGCAGUGGGGGAUAUUGCGCAAUGGGGGCAACCCUGACGCAGCAACGCCGCGUGAAGGAUGAAGGUUUUCGGAUUGUAAACUUCUUUUAUUAAGGACGAAACUUGACGGUACUUAAUGAAUAAGCUCCGGCUAACUACGUGCCAGCAGCCGCGGUAAUACGUAGGGAGCAAGCGUUGUCCGGAUUUACUGGGUGUAAAGGGUGCGUAGGCGGCUUUGCAAGUCAGAUGUGAAAUCUAUGGGCUCAACCCAUAAACUGCAUUUGAAACUGUAGAGCUUGAGUGAAGUAGAGGCAGGCGGAAUUCCCCGUGUAGCGGUGAAAUGCGUAGAGAUGGGGAGGAACACCAGUGGCGAAGGCGGCCUGCUGGGCUUUAACUGACGCUGAGGCACGAAAGCGUGGGUAGCAAACAGGAUUAGAUACCCUGGUAGUCCACGCUGUAAACGAUGAUUACUAGGUGUGGGGGGUCUGACCCCUUCCGUGCCGGAGUUAACACAAUAAGUAAUCCACCUGGGGAGUACGGCCGCAAGGUUGCAACUCAAAGGAAUUGACGG
Molecule: ribosomal RNA, 917 nt
Filed under: uncultured Bacillota bacterium
Lineage: Bacteria; Bacillati; Bacillota
Description: bacterial SSU rRNA
Rfam family: Bacterial small subunit ribosomal RNA
Source: RNAcentral